This 334-nucleotide unclassified non-coding RNA is filed under the name uncultured fungus. Its description in RNAcentral is "partial contains 5.8S ribosomal RNA and internal transcribed spacer 2". The stretch from base 1 to 133 matches the Rfam family "5.8S ribosomal RNA", at positions 22 to 154 of the family's 154-position model. The record is from RNAcentral. Lineage: Eukaryota; Fungi.
UGGUUCUGGCAUCGAUGAAGAACGCAGCGAAAUGCGAUAAGUAAUGUGAAUUGCAGAAUUCAGUGAAUCAUCGAAUCUUUGAACGCACAUUGCGCCCGCCAGCAUUCUGGCGGGCAUGCCUGUUCGAGCGUCAUUUCAACCCCUCGGGCCCCCGGGCCCGGCGUCGGGGCCCUCCCAGCUCACCGCGGGGAGGCCCUCAGAGACAGUGGCGGACCCGCCGCGGCUCCGAGCGCAGUAGUACACUCCUCGCUCCGGUGCCCCGCGGCGGGCCUCCUGCCGUGAAACACCUCAGACACAUAAGGUUGACCUCGGAUCAGGUAGGAAUACCCGCUGA